GAACGCUGGCGGUGUGCUUAACACAUGCAAGUCGCACGGUAAGGCCCUUUCGGGGGUCCACGAGUGGCGAACGGGUGAGUAACACGUGAGUAACCUGCCCUCAUCUCUGGGAUAACAGUCGGAAACGGUUGCUAAUACUGGAUAUGAGCCUGCAAGGCAUCUUGUGGGUUGGAAAGAUUUUUUGGUUGGGGAUGGACUCGCGGCCUAUCAGCUUGUUGGUGAGGUAGUGGCUCACCAAGGCUUCGACGGGUAGCCGGCCUGAGAGGGCGACCGGCCACAUUGGGACUGAGAUACGGCCCAAACUCCUACGGGAGGCAGCAGUGGGGAAUAUUGCACAAUGGACGGAAGUCUGAUGCAGCAACGCCGCGGGCGGGAUGACGGCCUUCGGGUUGUAAACCGCUUUCAAUUGUGACGAAGCUUUUUGUGACGGUAGCAGUAGAAGAAGCACCGGCUAACUACGUG
Molecule: ribosomal RNA, 462 nt
Filed under: uncultured bacterium
Lineage: Bacteria
Description: partial 16S ribosomal RNA
Rfam family: Bacterial small subunit ribosomal RNA
Source: RNAcentral